GGCCUGCAGGCCUCACCGCGGGGUGGAGAAGACAUAAGGAAUUUGAUAAGACAGCUGUACAGAAUGGUGCUGGAGGAGCCUUGUUUGUGCACAGGGAUACUCCUGAGAAUAACCCAGCUAUCCCAUUUGAUUUCACACCAGAAAACUAUAAGAGCAUAAAGGCAAUUAUAAAGAACUAUCCAGCAGGGCAUAAAGCAGCAGCUGUGCUUCCAGUCCUGGAUUUGGCUCAAAGGCAGAAUGAAUGGUUGCCCAUCUCUGCUAUGAACAAGGUUGCAGAAAAUUUACAAGUACCUCCAAUGAGAGUAUAUGAAGUAGCAACUUUUUAUACAAUGUAUAAUCGAAAGCCAGUUGGAAAGUAACACAUUCAAGUCU
This 372-nucleotide long non-coding RNA is filed under the name Marmota monax (woodchuck). The record is from RNAcentral. Lineage: Eukaryota; Metazoa; Chordata; Mammalia; Rodentia; Sciuridae.